AGAAGGAAAAACAAAGAUACGCAGCUCUCCGAGAGAGAGAAAAUAUAUCCAAGAGAGCUCCAUGGUUCAGAGAAUUCAGGUUCAGGUUCAGUCACAGGCAGUGAUCAGCAGCGCGCGAGCUGUGAAUUACAGGGCGGUUUCUCCUUUGGCACGCAUUCGUCAUGCCAUGCAGCUGAAUCUACAGCUACUAGACAUGCGUGCCAAAGGAGAAUUGCCCUGCGAUUCACCAGCACAGCACAUGUAGUUUUCAACCCCUGAUGCAAGUCCGCAGUGCAAGUGUACUCAGAAUGGUUCUCACAGCAAAGCAAUCAUUUUAACAGUUGCUCUGAAGAACUAGAGAUGGAGCAAAUAGAUUUAUUGACAUGCCUUCAAAGUGAAGAAUAAUCGAGCAAGCGUUGCUGGAGUCAAAUAUUUCUCGGAGAAUAAUAGACUUGUGGCAUUUCUUUUCUUUCUUCUACAUGCAUGUCAAAAAAAGAUAUACAGAAUCACCUACACUAACCGCAGAUCACUGCAGUUACAGAGAAUAAAUUAUGCAUACUAAGUUAGCUA
This is a long non-coding RNA of Oryza brachyantha (malo sina), 549 nucleotides long. RefSeq lists it as uncharacterized. Lineage: Eukaryota; Viridiplantae; Streptophyta; Magnoliopsida; Poales; Poaceae. The record is from RefSeq and is a predicted model, not a curated record. The transcript is spliced from 2 exons.